GGUGCUGGCGCAGGCGCUAAGAUGUUUAUAAUAAUUUAAGCUUAACGCUCGGAAAAUACUUUCUAAGGAGCAAGGAAAUGCUUUUUCUGAUGAGAUGGAUCCAGAUGUGGACCACGGCUCACCACAGGAUGACUCCCGCCAGCAUUCCCUGCAGACUCUCAAAGGGCAUCCAUGCAGUGGCGCGUGUGACACUCCACGCAGCAAGGCUCUGCCGCAGGGCCUGGUGUGGACUAAACAGAGUCGGUUAGAAAAGUGUUCUGAUGCAGUCACAGCUUUCAAGGCCUCAGCUUGCAUAAUUACAAGGGGCAGGAGCUGAAAUUUCAUCUGUGCGACAUCAGCUCAAAAGGAGCCGAGACUGGAAGAAACCGGGAGCUAUGAUUUGCACUUUGAUAACUUAAGUGAAAUAAAUCGAUGAUUCCAAAUG
Molecule: long non-coding RNA, 424 nt
Filed under: Homo sapiens (human)
Lineage: Eukaryota; Metazoa; Chordata; Mammalia; Primates; Hominidae
Description: HSALNT0375288
Source: RNAcentral